This 254-nucleotide ribosomal RNA is filed under the name uncultured bacterium. RNAcentral describes it as "partial 16S ribosomal RNA". It matches the Rfam family "Bacterial small subunit ribosomal RNA", at positions 524 to 776 of the family's 1533-position model. The record is from RNAcentral.
GACGAACCGUCCAAACGUUAUUCGGAAUCACUGGGCUUAAAGAGUGCGUAGGCGGCCCGGGAAGUUGGGUGUGAAAGCCCUCGGCUCAACCGAGGAAUUGCGCCCAAAACUGCCGGGCUAGAGGGAGACAUAGGUGAGCGGAACUUAGGGUGGAGCGGUGAAAUGCGUUGAGAUCCUAAGGAACACCAGUAGCGAAAGCGGCUCACUGGGUCUCUUCUGACGCUGAGUGCACGAAAGCUAGGGGAGCGAACGGG